This is a long non-coding RNA of Myotis brandtii (Brandt's bat), 384 nucleotides long. RefSeq lists it as uncharacterized. The transcript is spliced from 3 exons. The record is from RefSeq and is a predicted model, not a curated record. Lineage: Eukaryota; Metazoa; Chordata; Mammalia; Chiroptera; Vespertilionidae.
ACAGCCGUCCUGGGGUUUGAUCCUUUAUGCCAGCAGACCUUUGCUCUAAGGCUGUGUCUCCACUGUACUUCAGGCCAAAUCCCACCUCUUUUAAAGAAGGAAGGAACCGAGGCUCAGAGCAGUAAUAUGAAUUCACAAAGGCUUCCCAGACCAGCAAGUGGCAGUGGAGAGGAGAGUGUAUUCUAUUCAGGGGCAGAGGAGAGGUGGGAAUCUCCCGGGACCCCUCCAGGGACUGUACGCUUCCCGAGGGUAGGAGCUGUGCCUCUUUUAUUCACCACGGGGCCCCUGGAGUCUGGCACAAGGAAUAGUCGAUCUUUGAGAGAAGAAUGAGUGAAUGAUUAACCGGGGAGCCCACGUCCCCCUGCGUCUCCGGGAGCAGGACUG